RNAcentral lists this transfer RNA (73 nucleotides) under Pimelobacter simplex. RNAcentral describes it as "tRNA-Gln". It matches the Rfam family "tRNA". Rfam says of the family: Transfer RNA (tRNA) molecules are approximately 80 nucleotides in length. Their secondary structure includes four short double-helical elements and three loops (D, anti-codon, and T loops). RNAcentral also lists the same sequence under 3 other names. Lineage: Bacteria; Bacillati; Actinomycetota; Actinomycetes; Propionibacteriales; Nocardioidaceae. The record is from RNAcentral.
UGGUCUAUGGUGUAAUUGGCAGCACGACUGGUUCUGGUCCAGUUAGUCUAGGUUCGAGUCCUAGUAGACCAGC